GUGCCAUUUAAGGAAGUGGCUGUGGAAUUCACCAUGAAAGAGUGGCAGGAUCUGAACAAUGCACACAAGAUCUCAUACAGUGAUGUGAUACUGGAGACCUACAGUAGCCUGGUGUUGUUGGGAUGCUGUGUUACCAAACCUGAGGUGAUCUUCAAGUUGGAGUAAGGAGCAGAGCCACGGAUGACUGGUGAAUCCCCCAAACAGAACCUCCCAGAAUUCAUAUUCUCAUCAGAGAGAGAGAAACAAGAAAAUAAUGUAUUUCUGUGUUGGAUUAUUUGCUGUUCCCACCACUUUACGCUUUGAACCAACGCGCUGUUCUUUGGUUACUUCUACAAUGGAGGAACUUCCUGUGGGCAAUUCUGAUAAGAUGCUCCAGAAACAAACUGCUCAGUAAUGACGUCUCAACCUAUGAACUGAUGACAAAUCUGACACUGAGCCUCUAACACCAAUGAACUGUUUCCAAGCAGCUUAUGUGAACUUCUCCCUUUAUGCCAAUGAAAGCUUCUCUCACUCUUCCCUCACAGAAUGCCUUCAUGGCUUGUUAUGGUGUGUAUUCCAGAAAUUAAUCCAAUUUUAUAUUCAUGAAUAAACUCAACAUAUUUGGAGAUUA
Galeopterus variegatus (Sunda flying lemur) is the source of this 610-nucleotide long non-coding RNA. RefSeq lists it as uncharacterized. The record is from RefSeq and is a predicted model, not a curated record. The transcript has 5 exons. NCBI's taxonomy places the organism in Eukaryota, Metazoa, Chordata, Mammalia, Dermoptera, Cynocephalidae.